RNAcentral lists this ribosomal RNA (253 nucleotides) under uncultured bacterium. RNAcentral's name for it is "partial 16S ribosomal RNA". It matches the Rfam family "Bacterial small subunit ribosomal RNA", at positions 524 to 776 of the family's 1533-position model. The record is from RNAcentral.
UACAGAGGGUGCAAGCGUUGUUCGGAAUUAUUGGGCGUAAAGCGCACGUAGGCGGUUCGUUAAGUCGGAUGUGAAAGCCCUGGGCUCAACCCAGGAAGAGCAUUCGAAACUGGCGGACUGGAGUAUGGAAGAGGGUCGCGGAAUUCCCGGUGUAGAGGUGAAAUUCGUAGAUAUCGGGAGGAACACCAGUGGCGAAGGCGGCGACCUGGGCCAAUACUGACGCUGAUGUGCGAAAGCGUGGGGAGCAAACAGG